CUGGAUCUAUACAGCUUGAGGGCUUUGUUUAUUGGCAUGCACUUUUGGCUCCCCUAAAGGCGUUUCAAGUUUCCCAGAAAUAUGAUAAGACAAAAAUAUAUUAUAACAGAAGAAAGUAAAGAUAAAGAGAGAGGCGAGGUUGGUUGGUGUUGGAUAAAUAUGAACUCAAUGGCAUACUUGCAGCUCAUUGCGUCGUUCCAAGAGGGCCACAACUUUCCUGUCCUGCUGAGAUGGUUUGCUUGCAUCUGUAUGUGAGCUGCCAGUUUCUUACUAAGAGAGUCACUUUCUCUGGGAGUGCAACAGCAUCACAGUUGGAAACCGUGUCAUCAUAUGUCUACUAAAAGCAGCCUCAACAGCUGAUUGCAACCUGGACUCAGAAGGUGUAUUCCUUUCUGAGGUGGCAUCCCUUCUCUUCUGUCUCGAAAAAAAAUACGCUUAUGGUAACCUAAACUUCCACUAAGAUGUAGAACCUUAUUGAUAUAUUCAAAGCCCCAAAGUUUAAAUUUAAUACUACAGUUUGUGCAAUCACUGCACUCCUGGUGUGAGUAGGUCAACUUGAGUUGUUCCUAACUAUAGAUCAUGUAAGGAAGCAGGCUGCUAUGACAGCUCAGUCACAACAGGCUGUUUGGACAAUUGUCAAACUCUUUUGAAGUAUCUCAGGAACUUGAAGAUAAAGAUGACACCAUUUCUGCUGUGGACAAGGCAGAGGGAGAGAACAUUACCAUCAGGGUAUUAUUUGCUCAAUAUUUUUGCCAUGGACAAGUCAAAGCUGAGGAUUGCUGUUCUGGAGUUUGUCCACUAAAUUUUGUAAUGGAACAUGAUAUAUAAGAGAACUGUGAUACAUGAAUCCGAAGCCAAAACAGCCUGAGCCUGUCAAAAUAUUAGUGUUCUAUUUGUUCUGCUUUUUUUUCAGUCUCAUUUCUGAGAAUUUUUGACCAGAUCCAAAGAAAACAUAAAACUUUGAUAAUAUUUAGAAUUUGUGGAAAAAAUGAGAGGCGUGUUCUCAGAGCAGGCCCAAAGCUCCUCUUGCUUAUCACUGCCCACUCAAACAUACCAUCACCUACUAUUUUUAAAAUCCCAUACGGGCAUCUAAAAGUAUUUUUCUGCUGUUCUCGAUGAUGUGUCAUGCUGAUCAUAAUUGCUACAUGUAAGAAUUAUUAGUGCUGCAUACACCUAAUGCUCAUUCACUAAACAGAUGGCUUAUGAAAAUGUGGGAUGGCUUACUAGUCCUAAAAUGAUUCAUACCUCAGCUAUC
This 1255-nucleotide long non-coding RNA is filed under the name Anser brachyrhynchus (Pink-footed goose). RNAcentral's name for it is "lncRNA (ENSABRG00000015404.1)". The record is from RNAcentral. Lineage: Eukaryota; Metazoa; Chordata; Aves; Anseriformes; Anatidae.